CAUUAAAUAGCCGCAAUUCGUGCUAAGGUAGCAUAAUCAUUUGUCUUUUAAAUGAAGACUAGAACAAAAGAUUUAACAUUUUUAUUAAUUAUCUUUUUCUUAUUAAUCUAAUUUAUUAUAAAUGUAAAAAAACAUUUAUAUUUAAGAUAGACGACAAGACCCUAUUGAACUUUACUUAAGUUAAACKGGGGCAGUUAAUCAAUUAUUAUUUUAAUAUAAAAAUUAUUAAAAAAAUCUAAUUAAUUAAUAAUCCAGUUACCAUAGGGAUAACAGCGCAAUUAUAUUUUAAAGCUCUUAUAUAAAAUAUAGAUUACGACCUCGAUGUUGAAUUAAUAUCCUAAUUAAAGCAAAUUUUAAUAUAGGAAGUCUGUUCGACUUUUAAAAAAUUACAUGAUUUGAGUUCAGACCGGUAUAAGCCAGGUCGGUUUCCAUCUUCUAAAUAAAAUUUUACAGUACGAAAGGACCCAGAAACUUAAUUAAAUUAAUUUAUUAGCAAAUAAAUGCAUUAGAAUUAGAAUCUAAAAAAAC
RNAcentral lists this ribosomal RNA (528 nucleotides) under Thorelliola tualapa. RNAcentral's name for it is "partial 16S ribosomal RNA". The stretch from base 145 to 437 matches the Rfam family "Archaeal large subunit ribosomal RNA", at positions 2154 to 2717 of the family's 2987-position model. The record is from RNAcentral. Lineage: Eukaryota; Metazoa; Arthropoda; Arachnida; Araneae; Salticidae.